UUGAACAUAGCCAGGAACCAGA
Molecule: microRNA, 22 nt
Filed under: Heligmosomoides polygyrus
Lineage: Eukaryota; Metazoa; Nematoda; Chromadorea; Rhabditida; Heligmosomidae
Description: hpo-miR-10151-3p
Source: miRBase by way of RNAcentral